Molecule: ribosomal RNA, 305 nt
Filed under: uncultured bacterium
Lineage: Bacteria
Description: bacterial SSU rRNA
Rfam family: Bacterial small subunit ribosomal RNA
Source: RNAcentral
GCCCUACGGGAGGCAGCAGUAAGGGAUAUUGGUCAAUGGGGGAAACCCUGAACCAGCAACGCCGCGUGAGGGAAGACGGUUUUCGGAUUGUAAACCCCUGUCCUCUGUGAAGAUGAUGACGGUAGCAGAGGAGGAAGCUCCGGCUAACUACGUGCCAGCAGCCGCGGUAAUACGUAGGGAGCGAGCGUUGUCCGGAUUUACUGGGUGUAAAGGGAGCGUAGACGGCGCGGCAAGUCUGAAGUGAAAGGCAGGGGCUUAACCCCUGAACUGCUUUGGAAACUGCCAUGCUAGAGUGCUGGAGAGGG